UAGGGAAUCUUCGGCAAUGGACGGAAGUCUGACCGAGCAACGCCGCGUGAGUGAAGAAGGUUUUCGGAUCGUAAAGCUCUGUUGUUAGAGAAGAACGUUGGUAGGAGUGGAAAAUCUACCAAGCGACGGUAACUAACCAGAAAGGGACGGCUAACUACGUGCCAGCAGCCGCGGUAAUACGUAGGUCCCGAGCGUUGUCCGGAUUUAUUGGGCGUAAAGCGAGCGCAGGCGGUUCUUUAAGUCUGAAGUUAAAGGCAGUGGCUUAACCAUUGUAAGCUUUGGAAACUGGAGGACUUGAGUGCAGAAGGGGAGAGCGGAAUUCCAUGUGUAGCGGUGAAAUGCGUAGAUAUAUGGAGGAACACCGGUGGCGAAAGCGGCUCUCUGGUCUGUAGCUGACGCUGAGGCUCGAAAGCGUGGGGAGCAAACAGG
Molecule: ribosomal RNA, 429 nt
Filed under: Bacillota bacterium
Lineage: Bacteria; Bacillati; Bacillota
Description: Firmicutes bacterium partial 16S ribosomal RNA
Rfam family: Bacterial small subunit ribosomal RNA
Source: RNAcentral